GAUGAACGCUGGCGGCGUGCCUAAUACAUGCAAGUCGAGCGAACAGACGAGGAGCUUGCUCCUCUGACGUUAGCGGCGGACGGGUGAGUAACACGUGGAUAACCUACCUAUAAGACUGGGAUAACUUCGGGAAACCGGAGCUAAUACCGGAUAAUAUAUUGAACCGCAUGGUUCAAUAGUGAAAGACGGUUUUGCUGUCACUUAUAGAUGGAUUCGCGCCGCAUUAGCUAGUUGGUAAGGUAACGGCUUACCAAGGCAACGAUGCGUAGCCGACCUGAGAGGAUGAUCAGCCACACUGGAACUGAGACACGGUCCAGACUCCUACGGGAGGCAGCAGUAGGGAAUCUUCCGCAAUGGGCGAAAGCCUGACGGAGCAACGCCGCGUGAGUGAUGAAGGUCUUCGGAUCGUAAAACUCUGUUAUUAGGAAAGAACAAAUGUGUAAGUAACUAUGCACGUCUUGACGGUACCUAAACAGAAAGCCACGGCUAACUACGUG
This 497-nucleotide ribosomal RNA is filed under the name uncultured bacterium. RNAcentral describes it as "partial 16S ribosomal RNA". It matches the Rfam family "Bacterial small subunit ribosomal RNA", at positions 28 to 507 of the family's 1533-position model. The record is from RNAcentral.